This 138-nucleotide non-coding RNA is filed under the name Theobroma cacao (cacao). RNAcentral's name for it is "TPP sequence". It matches the Rfam family "TPP riboswitch aptamer (THI element)". Rfam says of the family: Vitamin B(1) in its active form thiamin pyrophosphate (TPP) is an essential coenzyme that is synthesised by coupling of pyrimidine and thiazole moieties in bacteria. The previously detected thiamin-regulatory element, thi box was extended, resulting in a new, highly conserved RNA secondary structure, the THI element, which is widely distributed in eubacteria and also occurs in some archaea. Lineage: Eukaryota; Viridiplantae; Streptophyta; Magnoliopsida; Malvales; Malvaceae. The record is from Rfam by way of RNAcentral.
AAAACGCACCAGGGGUGCCUGUAUCUGCUUUUAGCUCUUUGGCAUUUUGGCCAGGAUGCCGUGGCAGAUGAGGCUGAGAAAGUCCCUUUGAACCUGAACAGGGUAAUGCCUGCGUAGGGAGUGUGCAUUUUCUUUUUC